AUUGAACGCUGGCGGCAGGCUUAACACAUGCAAGUCGAACGGAACCUUCGGGUUUAGUGGCGAACGGGUGAGUAAUACCUAGGAAUCUGCCUAUUAGUGGGGGAUAACGGCUCGAAAGGGUCGCUAAUACCGCAUACGUCCUACGGGAGAAAGAGGGGGAUCUUCGGACCUCUUGCUAAUAGAUGAGCCUAGGCCGGAUUAGCUAGUUGGUAGGGUAAAGGCCUACCAAGGCGACGAUCCGUAGCUGGUCUGAGAGGAUGAUCAGCCACACUGGAACUGAGACACGGUCCAGACUCCUACGGGAGGCAGCAGUGGGGAAUAUUGGACAAUGGGGGCAACCCUGAUCCAGCCAUGCCGCGUGUGUGAAGAAGGCCUUCGGGUUGUAAGGACUCUUUCGGUACGGAACGAAAUUAGCUUGGACUAAUACUCUGAGUAGAUGACGGUACCGUAAGAAGAAGACACCGGCUAACUACGUGCCAGCAGCCGCGGUAA
This 492-nucleotide ribosomal RNA is filed under the name uncultured bacterium. RNAcentral describes it as "bacterial SSU rRNA". It matches the Rfam family "Bacterial small subunit ribosomal RNA", at positions 30 to 523 of the family's 1533-position model. The record is from RNAcentral.